Molecule: transfer RNA, 91 nt
Filed under: Endocarpon pusillum Z07020
Lineage: Eukaryota; Fungi; Ascomycota; Eurotiomycetes; Verrucariales; Verrucariaceae
Rfam family: tRNA
About the family: Transfer RNA (tRNA) molecules are approximately 80 nucleotides in length. Their secondary structure includes four short double-helical elements and three loops (D, anti-codon, and T loops).
Source: Rfam by way of RNAcentral
GUCACUGUGGCCGAGUGGUUAAGGCGUGUGACUUGAACUAUAUCGAUAUCACAUCUCUUAGGAGGCAUAGGUUCAAAUCCUGUCGGUGACG